UGGGGGAUAUUGCACAAUGGGGGAAACCCUGAUGCAGCAACGCCGCGUGAGGGAAGAAGGUUUUCGGAUUGUAAACCUCUGUCCUUGGUGAAGAUAAUGACGGUAGCCAAGGAGGAAGCUCCGGCUAACUACGUGCCAGCAGCCGCGGUAAUACGUAGGGAGCGAGCGUUGUCCGGAUUUACUGGGUGUAAAGGGUGCGUAGGCGGCUAUGCAAGUCAGGUGUGAAAACUAUGGGCUUAACCCAUAGACUGCACUUGAAACUGUGUGGCUUGAGUGAAGUAGAGGUAGGCGGAAUUCCCGGUGUAGCGGUGAAAUGCGUAGAGAUCGGGAGGAACACCAGUGGCGAAGGCGGCCUACUGGGCUUUAACUGACGCUGAAGCACGAAAGCGUGGGUAGCAAACAGG
This 404-nucleotide ribosomal RNA is filed under the name uncultured bacterium. Its description in RNAcentral is "bacterial SSU rRNA". It matches the Rfam family "Bacterial small subunit ribosomal RNA", at positions 355 to 776 of the family's 1533-position model. The record is from RNAcentral.